RNAcentral lists this ribosomal RNA (878 nucleotides) under uncultured bacterium. Its description in RNAcentral is "bacterial SSU rRNA". It matches the Rfam family "Bacterial small subunit ribosomal RNA", at positions 63 to 947 of the family's 1533-position model. The record is from RNAcentral.
CGAGGGGUNUUGNUUUUCGGACCAAGAGACCGGCGCACGGGUGCGUAACGCGUAUGCAAUCUACCUUUUGCAGGGGAAUAGCCCAGAGAAAUUUGGAUUAAUGCCCCAUAGUAUAUAGAGUUGGCAUCAACAUUAUAUUAAAGUUACAACGGCAAAAGAUGAGCAUGCGUCCCAUUAGCUAGUUGGUAAGGUAACGGCUUACCAAGGCUACGAUGGGUAGGGGUCCUGAGAGGGAGAUCCCCCACACUGGUACUGAGACACGGACCAGACUCCUACGGGAGGCAGCAGUGAGGAAUAUUGGACAAUGGGCGCAAGCCUGAUCCAGCCAUGCCGCGUGCAGGAUGACGGUCCUAUGGAUUGUAAACUGCUUUUAUACGAGAAGAAACACCGGUUCGUGAACCGGCUUGACGGUAUCGUAAGAAUAAGGAUCGGCUAACUCCGUGCCAGCAGCCGCGGUAAUACGGAGGAUCCAAGCGUUAUCCGGAAUCAUUGGGUUUAAAGGGUCCGUAGGCGGCCUUAUAAGUCAGUGGUGAAAUCUCCCCGCUCAACGGGGAAACGGCCAUUGAUACUGUAGGGCUUGAAUUAUUAGGAAGUAACUAGAAUAUAUAGUGUAGCGGUGAAAUGCUUAGAGAUUACAUGGAAUACCAAUUGCGAAGGCAGGUUACUACUAAUUGAUUGACGCUGAUGGACGAAAGCGUGGGUAGCGAACAGGAUUAGAUACCCUGGUAGUCCACGCCGUAAACGAUGGAUACUAGCUGUUGGGGGUAACUUCAGUGGCUAANCGAAAGUGAUAAGUAUCCCACCUGGGGAGUACGUUCGCAAGAAUGAAACUCAAAGGAAUUGACGGGGGCCCGCACAAGCGGUGGAGCAUGUGGUUU